Molecule: unclassified non-coding RNA, 256 nt
Filed under: uncultured fungus
Lineage: Eukaryota; Fungi
Description: sequence contains 5.8S rRNA gene, ITS2, 28S rRNA gene
Source: RNAcentral
AACGCAUAUUGCACCCUCUGGUAUUCCGGAGGGUACACCUGUUUGAGCGCCAUUUCGAACUUCAAGCAUAGCUUGGUGUUGGGUAAAGUCCUUAGAAAAAAAAAGGGACUUACCCUUAACUCGUAGGCGAUCAUGGCACACUUCUCCCAGCGUAGCAGGCUUACGCACCUCGCUCGGGGAUAGGAGGUUUGAUCACCUUUUAGUGACAAAUUCAUGGUUUGGCCUCAAAUCAGGUGGGGAUACCCGCUGAACUUAA